Molecule: ribosomal RNA, 525 nt
Filed under: Triticum aestivum (bread wheat)
Lineage: Eukaryota; Viridiplantae; Streptophyta; Magnoliopsida; Poales; Poaceae
Description: partial small subunit ribosomal RNA
Source: RNAcentral
AUGGCCCUGGGUGACGGCCGUAUGGCCCUUUUCUGGGAUGACCGAUGGAUCGACGGCCGCUCCAUCAGCAAGAUCGUGCCGCAGUGCAUCUCCAAACGCAGGAGAAAGAUGCGGACUGUUUCUGAUGGGCUCCAGGCUAACGCUUGGGCUGUGAUCGAGGGCACGCUGGGCGUCCACAAGAUCGGCCAGUAUAUACGGCUCUGGCACGCUGUCGAGCGCAUUACCCUGACCACGGAGCCUGAUCGAUUCCUCUGGAAAUGGACUACGAGCGGAUCCUACUCUGCAAAGUCCUGCUGCAAGCCCACCUUCCAGCGUUCAAUCCAUAGCGAGUCUUAGAAAUUUGUUUGGAAGAACUGGGCGCCCCCUCGGGUACGUUUCUUUCACUGGCUCGCCAAUCAGGACAGAUGUUGGACCACCGACCGCUUGGCACGCCGAGGACUGCAACACCAAACCUGAUGCCUCCUUUGCUGCCAGAGCACCGAGAAGAUGAGCCACCUGCUGCUCCGCUGUCCAUUCUCUCGACAA